GCAAUGGGGGGAACCCCGACGCAGCGACGCCGCGUGCGGGACGGAGGCCUUCGGGUCGUAAACCGCUUUCAGCACGGAAGAGUCAAGACUGUACCUGCAGAAGAAGCCCCGGCUAACUACGUGCCAGCAGCCGCGGUAAUACGUAGGGGGCGAGCGUUAUCCGGAUUCAUUGGGCGUAAAGCGCGCGUAGGCAGCCCGGCAGGCUGGGGGUCGAAGUGGGGGGCUCAACCCCCCGAAGCCCCCGGAACCUCCGCGGCUUGGGUCCGGUAGGGGAGGGUGGAACACCCGGUGUAGCGGUGGAGUGCGCAGAUAUCGGGUGGAACCCCGGUGGCGAAGGCGGCCCUUUGGGCCGAGACCGACGGUGAGGCGCGAAAGCUGGGGGAGCCAAAAAGAUUAGAUAUCCCUGGUAGUCUCCAGCCGUAAACCCCUAUAAUGAGGUGUGGGGGGACGAUCCCCCCGUGCCGCACCCAACGCAUUAAGAGUCCCGCCUGGGGAGUACGGCCGCAAGGCUAAAACUCAAAGGAAUAGACGGGGGGCCGCACAAGCAGCGGAGCAUGUGGUUUAAUUUGAAGCAACGCGAAGAACCUUACCAGGGCUUGACAUAUGGGUGAAGCGGGGGAGACCCCGUGGCCGCGAGGAGCCCCUCCUGGUGGUGCGUGGCUGUCGUCUGCUCGUGUCGUGGGGUGUUGGGUUGCGUCCCGCCCCGCGCGCCGCCCCCGCCGCGUGUUGCCUUCGGGUGGUGCCGGGGGCCCCCGCGGGGCCGCCGCCGUCUCGGCGGGGGGGGGCGGGGGGGGCGUCCCGUCUUCUUGCCCCUUCUGCCCUGGGCUGCGCCCGUGCUGCUCUGGCCGGUGCGGCGGGGUGCCCCCCCCCGCGGGGGGGCGGGUCCCGGCUAGCCGGCCCCCCUUCGGAUUGGGGGGUGCGCCCCGCCCCCCCG
RNAcentral lists this ribosomal RNA (934 nucleotides) under uncultured bacterium. Its description in RNAcentral is "partial 16S ribosomal RNA". It matches the Rfam family "Bacterial small subunit ribosomal RNA", at positions 368 to 1322 of the family's 1533-position model. The record is from RNAcentral.